UUUGGAGCUUAAGGUACAAAACUCAACCACGUUAAGCAACUCAAUAAAAAGUGAAAACUUUGUGGAACAUGAGAUUUUACCUUCGGUUGGGGCGACCACGGAGGAAAAAAAAGCCUCCAGGUGGAACGGGAAAAUUUCCUAAAACUAAGAGAGACAUCUCUAAGCCACAGAACAUCUGACCAAAUAUGAUCCGGCUAAUACAAGCCGAUCAACGAACCAAGUUACCCUA
RNAcentral lists this ribosomal RNA (229 nucleotides) under Carassius auratus (goldfish). RNAcentral's name for it is "partial 16S ribosomal RNA". The record is from RNAcentral. Lineage: Eukaryota; Metazoa; Chordata; Actinopteri; Cypriniformes; Cyprinidae.